UAGACUUGACGAGUUCCAAUCUCCGGAGC
This 29-nucleotide small RNA is filed under the name Bombyx mori (domestic silkworm). Its description in RNAcentral is "ovarian small RNA-21979". The record is from RNAcentral. Lineage: Eukaryota; Metazoa; Arthropoda; Insecta; Lepidoptera; Bombycidae.